CUCAAUGUUUGCCCAGCUCUUAUAAGGUAGCUAACCUUAUUAUCAUGUCCUUUUUACAGCUGAGCCUGUUGGGGCUGAGUCAUCUUUGUGAAUUGACUGCAGUCACAUAGAGUUGCAGAGGCCAGAUUUGUUGAAGAGGCUCCAACUCUAAGUUUAGCACUUUUUAUACCACAUCCCCCAGCCUCUGAAGCAGCAAUGAGAGAAGCAAGGAGUCUCCCCAAGGGAAGCGCUGCUUAUGCGUUGGCAUCAUUGACACAGGAGACAGGGCAUCCAUCCAUGCUGCUGGUCUGGAGAUCCUGUGAGAAACACCCUCUUAUUUACAAUGGGGCUGUGACACAUGAGAUCAACUCUCAGUGAAAUUCUAGCCCAAGGUCACACAGCUGGUGUGACGGAAAAGAAUCCACCCUCCAUUCUCAUUCUGGAAUAACAACGAGAUGUUCUUUCGCAGAGGGCUCAGACCAAAUCAAGACUACACGAUACAGCCACUACGUCCUUCUGCUGCUGGGAUCCCUUGGAAUAAAAUCAAGAAAAGACUAAAGGUGGGCUUAAUUUCACUACCCAUUGUAAGCUUUUUUGCCGUUUUAUUUCCUAAGCUCUGUCAAAACUCCAGAUUUUCAGCUCAAAAGUAGUCAUCUCUCAUUACAGAAUUUCCACCUAAUGAUUUGUAUUCUUCCUGUGGAAGGAAGGUUACUAGAUGCUCCUCUUACUUAGCUAGAAGAAAGGAGGUAAUUGCAAACCACUGGACUUGCUCGUGGACCUCCUGCCCUCACUAGGAUCACAGAUGUGCAGAAUUGUCAGCCACAAGGGCAGCACCUAGGCUUUGCCUAUGUGGGGUGGACAUAUUAGGAUCAAGAGGGGAUCUGUCUGUCUGGUUUGCAAAAGCAUAUUUAACAUCGUAAUC
Molecule: long non-coding RNA, 901 nt
Filed under: Homo sapiens (human)
Lineage: Eukaryota; Metazoa; Chordata; Mammalia; Primates; Hominidae
Description: HSALNT0201915
Source: RNAcentral